This 279-nucleotide long non-coding RNA is filed under the name Triticum aestivum (bread wheat). RNAcentral's name for it is "long non-coding RNA (TAES_LNC017012)". Lineage: Eukaryota; Viridiplantae; Streptophyta; Magnoliopsida; Poales; Poaceae. The record is from RNAcentral.
AGGGUAUCAACAACUAAAAAGAGAAUGCCCUACUAUCUUUGCCGAGAUGUGGGAGAAGGCAUCCAAGGCUCGAAAAUUUUAGAUGUUCACUCUAGAUAAAUUCUCCGAGUAGUUACUUCACUUGAUGCCAUAGCAACCUGAGAUCAUUAUUUUGUCUAUUUGUUUUGGAAAAUUGUAAGUUCUACAUAUGCUAUACCAACAGUAUCCAAUUAGAUGCUUUUGUCUAUUGAUGAGCAUCACAUUUACCAUUCCAAAGUAGUGCUCAUUUCAUUUUUCAAA